This is a non-coding RNA of Octopus sinensis (East Asian common octopus), 72 nucleotides long. The record is from the annotation of a RefSeq genome assembly. NCBI's taxonomy places the organism in Eukaryota, Metazoa, Mollusca, Cephalopoda, Octopoda, Octopodidae.
UCCUCUAUGGUCCAAUGGCUAGGAUAUCCGCCUCUCACGUGGAUGGUCCGGGUUCGAUUACCGGUGGAGGAA